This 513-nucleotide ribosomal RNA is filed under the name Escherichia coli. RNAcentral describes it as "partial 23S ribosomal RNA". It matches the Rfam family "Bacterial large subunit ribosomal RNA", at positions 419 to 933 of the family's 2925-position model. Lineage: Bacteria; Pseudomonadati; Pseudomonadota; Gammaproteobacteria; Enterobacterales; Enterobacteriaceae. The record is from RNAcentral.
GGGACACGUGGUAUCCUGUCUGAAUAUGGGGGGACCAUCCUCCAAGGCUAAAUACUCCUGACUGACCGAUAGUGAACCAGUACCGUGAGGGAAAGGCGAAAAGAACCCCGGCGAGGGGAGUGAAAAAGAACCUGAAACCGUGUACGUACAAGCAGUGGGAGCACGCUUAGGCGUGUGACUGCGUACCUUUUGUAUAAUGGGUCAGCGACUUAUAUUCUGUAGCAAGGUUAACCGAAUAGGGGAGCCGAAGGGAAACCGAGUCUUAACUGGGCGUUAAGUUGCAGGGUAUAGACCCGAAACCCGGUGAUCUAGCCAUGGGCAGGUUGAAGGUUGGGUAACACUAACUGGAGGACCGAACCGACUAAUGUUGAAAAAUUAGCGGAUGACUUGUGGCUGGGGGUGAAAGGCCAAUCAAACCGGGAGAUAGCUGGUUCUCCCCGAAAGCUAUUUAGGUAGCGCCUCGUGAAUUCAUCUCCGGGGGUAGAGCACUGUUUCGGCAAGGGGGGCAUCCCG